GACGAACGCUGGCGGCGUGCUUAACACAUGCAAGUCGAACGGAAAGGCCCUGCUUUCGUGGGGUGCUCGAGUGGCGAACGGGUGUGUAACACGUGAGUAACCUGCCCUUGACUUUGGGAUAACUUCAGGAAACUGGGGCUAAUACCGGAUAGGAGCUCCUGCUGCAUGGUGGGGGUUGGAAAGUUUCGGCGGUUGGGGAUGGACUCGCGGCUUAUCAGCUUGUUGGUGGGGUAGUGGCUUACCAAGGCGUUGACGGGUAGCCGGCCUGAGAGGGUGACCGGCCACAUUGGGACUGAGAUACGGCCCAGACUCCUACGGGAGGCAGCAGUGGGGAAUAUUGCACAAUGGGCGGAAGCCUGAUGCAGCAACGCCGCGUGCGGGAUGACGGCCUUCGGGUUGUAAACCGCUUUCGCCUGUGACGAAGCGUGAGUGACGGUAAUGGGUAAAGAAGCACCGGCUAACUACGUG
This 468-nucleotide ribosomal RNA is filed under the name uncultured bacterium. RNAcentral describes it as "partial 16S ribosomal RNA". It matches the Rfam family "Bacterial small subunit ribosomal RNA", at positions 28 to 507 of the family's 1533-position model. The record is from RNAcentral.